RNAcentral lists this ribosomal RNA (939 nucleotides) under uncultured Mycoplasma sp. RNAcentral describes it as "bacterial SSU rRNA". It matches the Rfam family "Bacterial small subunit ribosomal RNA", at positions 103 to 1037 of the family's 1533-position model. The record is from RNAcentral. Lineage: Bacteria; Bacillati; Mycoplasmatota; Mollicutes; Mycoplasmatales; Mycoplasmataceae.
UGGGUGAGUAACACGUACUCAACGUACCUUUUAGUUUGGGAUAGCGAACGGAAACGUUCGAUAAUACCAAAUACUUAUUAUUUUCGCAUGAAAUAAUAUAAAAGAAGCGUUUGCUUCGCUGAAAGAUCGGGGUGCGCAACAUUAGCUAGUUGGUGAGGUAACGGCCCACCAAGGCGAUGAUGUUUAGCGGGGUUGAGAGACUGAACCGCCACACUGGGACUGAGAUACGGCCCAGACUCCUACGGGAGGCAGCAGUAGGGAAUAUUCCACAAUGAGCGAAAGCUUGAUGGAGCGACACAGCGUGCAGGAUGAAGGUCCUAUGGAUUGUAAACUGCUGUGGUAAGGGAAGAAAAAGUAGUGUAGGAAAUGACAUUACCUUGACGGUACCUUAUUAGAAAGCAACGGCUAACUAUGUGCCAGCAGCCGCGGUAAUACAUAGGUUGCAAGCGUUAUCCGGAAUUAUUGGGCGUAAAGCGUCUGUAGGUUGUUUGUUAAGUCUGGCGUCAAAUUUUGGGGCUCAACCCCAAACCGCGUUGGAUACUGGCAGACUAGAGUUGUGUAGAGGUUAGCGGAAUUCCUUGUGAAGCGGUGAAAUGCGUAGAUAUAAGGAAGAACACCAAUAUGGCGAAGGCAGCUAACUGGGCAUAUACUGACACUGAGAGACGAAAGCGUGGGGAGCAAACAGGAUUAGAUACCCUGGUAGUCCACGCCCUAAACGAUGAUCAUUAGUUGAUGGAAGAAUUCAUCGACGCAGCUAACGCAUUAAAUGAUCCGCCUGAGUAGUACGUUCGCAAGAAUAAAACUUAAAGGAAUUGACGGGGAUCCGCACAAGCGGUGGAGCAUGGUGGUUUAAUUUGAAGAUACGCGUAGACCCUUACCCACUCUUGACAUCUUCUGCAAGGCUAUAGAGAUAUAGGUGGAGGGUUAACAGAGUGACGA